UUACGGGAGGCAGCAGUGGGGAAUAUUGCACAAUGGGCGCAAGCCUGAUGCAGCCAUGCCGCGUGUAUGAAGAAGGCCUUCGGGUUGUAAAGUACUUUCAGUCGUGAGGAAGGUGUUAAGGUUAAUAACCUUAGCAAUUGACGUUAGCGACAGAAGAAGCACCGGCUAACUCCGUGCCAGCAGCCGCGGUAAUACGGAGGGUGCGAGCGUUAAUCGGAAUUACUGGGCGUAAAGGGCACGCAGGCGGUUAAUUAAGUUGGAUGUGAAAUCCCCGGGCUUAACCUGGGAAUGGCAUUCAAGACUGGUUAGCUAGAGUCUUGUAGAGGGGGUAGAAUUCCAUGUGUAGCGGUGAAAUGCGUAGAGAUGUGGAGGAAUACCGGUGGCGAAGGCGGCCCCUGGGACAAAGACUGACGCUCAUGUGCGAAAGCGUGGGGAGCAAACAGGGAUUAGAUACC
RNAcentral lists this ribosomal RNA (455 nucleotides) under uncultured bacterium. Its description in RNAcentral is "bacterial SSU rRNA". It matches the Rfam family "Bacterial small subunit ribosomal RNA", at positions 339 to 786 of the family's 1533-position model. The record is from RNAcentral.